RNAcentral lists this non-coding RNA (105 nucleotides) under Polaromonas sp. CG9_12. RNAcentral describes it as "SAM-I/IV (S-adenosyl methionine) riboswitch aptamer". It matches the Rfam family "SAM-I/IV (S-adenosyl methionine) riboswitch aptamer". From Rfam's summary of the family: It is found upstream of a number of genes which code for proteins involved in methionine or cysteine biosynthesis. It has been found mostly in the order Actinomycetales. RNAcentral also lists the same sequence under 1 other name. The record is from Rfam by way of RNAcentral. Lineage: Bacteria; Pseudomonadati; Pseudomonadota; Betaproteobacteria; Burkholderiales; Comamonadaceae.
AUUCAACAUUAAGAGUUGGGCCAACGCCCACGCCAACCUGCCUUCCGGGGCAAGGUGGUCGCCAAGCGCAAUGUGGUGCCCUCGGGUGCAACCAAGCCGGCAGCU